UGGGCCUUGUGACUUCAGUGCUGACAGAAAU
This 31-nucleotide non-coding RNA is filed under the name Rattus norvegicus (Norway rat). Lineage: Eukaryota; Metazoa; Chordata; Mammalia; Rodentia; Muridae. The record is from RNAcentral.